This 465-nucleotide ribosomal RNA is filed under the name Vreelandella stevensii. RNAcentral describes it as "partial 16S ribosomal RNA". It matches the Rfam family "Bacterial small subunit ribosomal RNA", at positions 338 to 795 of the family's 1533-position model. Lineage: Bacteria; Pseudomonadati; Pseudomonadota; Gammaproteobacteria; Oceanospirillales; Halomonadaceae. The record is from RNAcentral.
CCUACGGAUGGCUGCAGUGGGGAAUAUUGGACAAUGGGCGAAAGCCUGAUCCAGCCAUGCCGCGUGUGUGAAGAAGGCCUUCGGGUUGUAAAGCACUUUCAGUGGGGAAGAAAGCCUUGGGGCUAAUACCCUCGAGGAAGGACAUCACCCACAGAAGAAGCACCGGCUAACUCCGUGCCAGCAGCCGCGGUAAUACGGAGGGUGCGAGCGUUAAUCGGAAUUACUGGGCGUAAAGCGCGCGUAGGCGGUCUGAUAAGCCGGUUGUGAAAGCCCCGGGAUCAACCUGGGAACGGCAUCCGGAACUGUCAGGCUAGAGUGCAGGAGAGGAAGGUAGAAUUCCCGGUGUAGCGGUGAAAUGCGUAGAGAUCGGGAGGAAUACCAGUGGCGAAGGCGGCCUUCUGGACUGACACUGACGCUGAGGUGCGAAAGCGUGGGUAGCAAACAGGAUUAGAUACCCUGGUAGUC